This 497-nucleotide ribosomal RNA is filed under the name uncultured bacterium. RNAcentral describes it as "partial 16S ribosomal RNA". It matches the Rfam family "Bacterial small subunit ribosomal RNA", at positions 28 to 507 of the family's 1533-position model. The record is from RNAcentral.
GAUGAACGCUGGCGGCGUGCCUAAUACAUGCAAGUCGAGCGAACGGACGAGAAGCUUGCUUCUCUGAUGUUAGCGGCGGACGGGUGAGUAACACGUGGAUAACCUACCUAUAAGACUGGGAUAACUUCGGGAAACCGGAGCUAAUACCGGAUAAUAUUUUGAACCGCAUGGUUCAAAAGUGAAAGACGGUCUUGCUGUCACUUAUAGAUGGAUCCGCGCUGCAUUAGCUAGUUGGUAAGGUAACGGCUUACCAAGGCAACGAUGCAUAGCCGACCUGAGAGGGUGAACGGCCACACUGGAACUGAGACACGGUCCAGACACCUAAGGGAGGCAGCAGUAGGGAAUCUUCCGCAAUGGGCGAAAGCCUGACGGAGCAAAGCCGCGUGAGUGAUGAAGGUCUUCGGAUCGUAAAACUCUGUUAUUAGGGAAGAACAUAUGUGUAAGUAACUGUGCACAUCUUGACGGUACCUAAUCAGAAAGCCACGGCUAACUACGUG